Molecule: long non-coding RNA, 365 nt
Filed under: Camarhynchus parvulus
Lineage: Eukaryota; Metazoa; Chordata; Aves; Passeriformes; Thraupidae
Description: lncRNA (ENSCPVG00000015139.2)
Source: RNAcentral
CCCGGUGAGACCACGGCGCUGGGUGCGGGCAGCCCAGCAGGGACCUCUAGGGCAGGGAAGUCCAGAAGAAAAAGGAUAUCAAAGUCCAGCUGUCCAGUGUCAUCACAUUCAGAUUCUGCCAUGAGCUGUAAGUCUCUCACAUCUAAAUUUUCUAUUGCAAUAGAACAGCUGCCUGAAAACUGUUGUAGAAUACUGAAAUAUGUCUUUCAUUGAACUAUCAUUAAACAAUAUAUGUUGGGUAUGGCUUGUCUUGUUAUGCUAAAUCCACGUAGUUCAAACAUAUAGACUUAUAGUAUAAUACGUCUGCUUUUUAAAAUACUAGCUUAUGAUAAUCUCAUUCAUUGCAUUUGAAAUGGAAGGCUCAC